CGGAGCGUGGCGCAGCUUGGUAGCGCGCAUGGCUGGGGGCCAUGAGGUCGCAGGUUCGAAUCCUGUCGCUCCGA
RNAcentral lists this transfer RNA (74 nucleotides) under Alkaliphilus metalliredigens QYMF. It matches the Rfam family "tRNA". From Rfam's summary of the family: Transfer RNA (tRNA) molecules are approximately 80 nucleotides in length. Their secondary structure includes four short double-helical elements and three loops (D, anti-codon, and T loops). The record is from Rfam by way of RNAcentral. Lineage: Bacteria; Bacillati; Bacillota; Clostridia; Peptostreptococcales; Natronincolaceae.